UCGACCGAGGUUCGUCCGUCCAUAGAUCCCGACCAAGACGGUGAUCAGGACGUUCUUCAUGUUCCGACCGAGGUUCGUCCGUCCGAUCAUACCGAUCAGUCCGACCGAGCUGUUUACCGACUGGACCCGUGUACGUUCGGAAUGGAGCCUAGACCAAACCCACGACCUGAUGAUUGAACUGACCGUACUGCAGGAGCUAUUCCCCGUCCAACUCGACAAGCUAAAAUUGAUGGUCG
This 236-nucleotide long non-coding RNA is filed under the name Brassica rapa (field mustard). Its description in RNAcentral is "long non-coding RNA (BRAP_LNC005034)". Lineage: Eukaryota; Viridiplantae; Streptophyta; Magnoliopsida; Brassicales; Brassicaceae. The record is from RNAcentral.